GCGGGAAUAGCUCAGUUGGUAGAGCAUCAGCCAUCCAAGCUGAGGGUCGCGGGUUCGAACCCCGUUUCCCGCUCCA
RNAcentral lists this transfer RNA (76 nucleotides) under Gemmatimonadota bacterium. RNAcentral describes it as "Gemmatimonadetes bacterium (marine metagenome) tRNA-Gly". It matches the Rfam family "tRNA". Rfam says of the family: Transfer RNA (tRNA) molecules are approximately 80 nucleotides in length. Their secondary structure includes four short double-helical elements and three loops (D, anti-codon, and T loops). The record is from RNAcentral. Lineage: Bacteria; Pseudomonadati; Gemmatimonadota.